GACGAACGCUGGCGGCGUGCUUAACACAUGCAAGUCGAACGGAAAGGCCCUGCUUUUGUGGGGUGCUCGAGUGCCGAACGGGUGAGUAACACGUGAGUAACCUGCCCUUGACUUUGGGAUAACUUCAGGAAACUGGGGCUAAUACCGGAUAGGAGCUCCUGCUGCAUGGUGGGGGUUGGAAAGUUUCGGCGGUUGGGGAUGGACUCGCGGCUUAUCAGCUGGUUGGUGGGGUAGUGGCUUACCAAGGCUUUGACGGGUAGCCGGCCUGAGAGGGUGACCGGCGGCAUGAGAGGGGGGACGCGGACCAUGCGCCUACGAGAGGCAGCAGUCGGGAACGGGAGGCAGCAGGCGAAAGCAUGACACAGCGGGGGGAAGUGUGUGACAACAACGUUGCGUGCGGGAUGACGGCCUUCGAGUUGAGAACCGCUGUCGCCGGUGACGAAGAGGGAGUGACGGUAAUGGAUAAAGAAGCACCGGCUAACUACGUG
RNAcentral lists this ribosomal RNA (488 nucleotides) under uncultured bacterium. Its description in RNAcentral is "partial 16S ribosomal RNA". It matches the Rfam family "Bacterial small subunit ribosomal RNA", at positions 28 to 507 of the family's 1533-position model. The record is from RNAcentral.